CGGAGCGAGCCCGGUCCCGACUCAUCCCGGCGAUGGAGGCGCGGCGGUGGCCGCUGUGGUUGCAGGGCCUGGCGCUGCUCUGGGGCCGAGCCGCGAUGGGGCUGGCGCAGAGCCCCACCGGGGCUCCGCCGGCGCUGGCAUGUUCAGCAUUUUCCCAGAAGUCCUGUGAUGAAUGUCUAAAAAAUGUUUCGUGCCUUUGGUGUUACACCAACAACACUUGCAUUGAUUACCCUGUAAGAAGCAUUCUUCCACCGUCUUCAUUGUGUUCCCUCUCUAAUGCUCGAUGGGGAGUUUGCUGGAUAAAUUUUGAGGCUUUAAUUAUUGCCAUAGCUGUAGUAGCUGGACUCAUUCUGGUGUCUGUAGCAGUCUGUUGCUGUUACUGCUGUUACUGCAGAAGACGUUCCAGGAGUAGACCAGAUGAAGAAGAAGAGCAGCUAGCUAGGAAGAGAGAGGAAAGAAGACUACAGUCUCUUCAGAGGAAACAUGAAAGAAAACUGAAGCAUGAUGAAAUACGUAAGAAGUAUGGUAGUUAGUUGCAGUAACUCAUACAGUAAUCAGCACUAAGCAGUUGUGCUUCUUGAUUGGAAUCUUAAAUAACCUGGCAGUUCAAACGAAGCUCUCCAACUGCAACAAGGUCUUCUUCAGGAUUCUGAUAACCCGUACAGCAGAUUUGAGAAUGAAUAAAGCUGAGCACCUUCCACUAGAGCUGUGACUCCAGAAGACAGGAAGACUGUUUUCAUUUAGCCUUUGUGCUCUUUUGCUUUGUUUUUUUUUUCCCUGAAUUGUUUUUUCCUGAUUGUAAAACUAGAAGCAGCUAAAGACUUUAUGAAAUAACAUGUUCCUAUCUCCUACUCAUAUAGAACUAAUUUUUAUAAAUGGUUUUAUUGUUGAAAUGUUUGCUGAAUUUUGUGACUAUCUUUCCUCUUCUUAAAACUGUAUUUUAUUACUUGAUGUAGACGGUUAAUAGUCACAAUUUGAGUUCAGUUUUAAUUGCCAUUUAAAGCAGUUGUUCCCAUGUUCCUAAAUAAAGAUUUUAUAUAUAUAUAUAUAUAUAUAUAUGUAAAAUAAAAAGCAACAUGGAAGCACAGCUUCACAUGGCAGAAAUAGCUGAUGAGAAAAUACAGCACACACAUUCUUGUGGGUGGAGGUUUUUUCUAUCUGGAAAAAGAUCUUCCAAGAGUGUAAUAUGUAAGGGUUGAGAGAGGGGAGCAUAUUUGUCUUUGAAUAAUUCAGUUCAGUUGUGGAAAUGUUAAUAUGUACUCGGGAUGUAGCACUGAUGUGAAAAAGAAACUACUUCACUUAGCAAAAGUGGAAGAAGGUCACUCUUGAAAUGUACAUGGUUAUGUGUGCCCAAAUUUAAGAAACAUCAAUCUGUGUGAAAUCUUUCUUUUGUAAGCUUAAUGUAUAAUGAAAAAAAAGUAAAAAGUUGCCCAGAUUCUGCAGUUUACCAGAGCUGACCCUGGCCAGCAGCUAAGCACUGCCCAGCUGCUUCCUCCCUCAGAGGGAUGAGGGAGGGAAUGGGAACAGCAAAGGGUUGAGAUAAAAACACUCUAAGUGAAGAAAAGGAGAGUAAGUGGGAACAAGCCAUGCAAAGGGAAUUUCCACCUCCCAGAAGCAGAUCUCUGCCCAGCCUCCCCGCAGUUUUUCUUGGGGAGCCUGGAAUAUCAUUUGGGUCAGUUCUGGCCAGCUGUCCCAAUUGUAUCCCCUCCCAGCUUCUUGCUCACCCCUGGCCUCCUUGCUGGAACGGUCAGAGUGGGGAAAAAAUGAAACCUUGAUGCUGUGCAAGCAAUGCUCAGCAAAAGCCAAAGCACUGGUGUAUUACCAGCACUGUUCCUGCCACAAAUCCAAAGCAAAGCAGCACCAUACAGGCUGCUGUGAAGAAAGUUACCUCAAUCCCAACCAGACCCAGUACAGUAAGAAAGUGGUAUUUUUUUAACCUUUUAUUGUUCUGUUGAUAUUUCUAUAAUGUGAUUUAUUUCCUGUCUUUCUUUUCAUAGAGGUGUUUCCUUGAGCAUUUUUAGUAGCUUACCAGUACAAUGUGACAAGCAAAUGACUCUUCUGUCCCCCAGUCUGAUGUUCGUUCCCAUUUAUUCUGUACACUUUAAAUAACCUCCCUUGCUGUAUAUUAUCUAUUAAACAAAUGUACAGUAUUGAAGAUGUCCGUGCUAUUUUUAUCCACAUUCCUAAAAUAAACACUUUAACAUCUUGAA
Neopelma chrysocephalum (saffron-crested tyrant-manakin) is the source of this 2210-nucleotide RNA transcript. It is a transcript of the gene named pituitary tumor-transforming gene 1 protein-interacting protein-like, with no coding region annotated. The record is from RefSeq and is a predicted model, not a curated record. NCBI's taxonomy places the organism in Eukaryota, Metazoa, Chordata, Aves, Passeriformes, Pipridae. The transcript has 8 exons.